UGGGUAUUAUGGAUGGUGAGGGGUGAGAUCUGUCUCCAGCACACGCUCUCAUCCUCUCCAGGUGGAAAAGAAGGCAACGUGUCACAGUGUCUGCUGAUGCUGUUCUUCCUCAGCCCGUGCAGCUGCCCUGGGUUUGUAUUACCCCGGCGUCUACGCACCAGCUCCGCCUGGGACGCGUCCCAGCAGCAGGCUGCUUGGACCUCAACCCUACCAGGACGGUCGUCCUUUGUGGAAAGAAACUGGACCCGACGCGGCUUCUCACGCAAACCGGCAACCCGACGUAAGAUUCCCAGAUGGCCGACCGCGUGAACCAACGCACCCCUGGAGUUGGCGCGGCGCUUCCCGUCCGGCUCAGCGUGACCACGCCGCCGGCCGAGCGCUCCCCAGAGGGCGCUCCGUCAUCUACCGCCAGCCCUAUUCUGAGGAGGUCAAGCGCGUUGUCCCUCCGACGGCGGCUGGAGCCCCGGGCCGGCCUGACCUUGUGGAUUGGCGUCCCCAAGGUCGCAGCCGGCCGCCCUCGCCUGUCUACGAUGGGCGCGACCACGCGGUUGACGAGUCUGUCCCAAAUGGACGUGACGUGUCUGUGAGGGGGCUCCCGCUGCCCCGAAGCGGGGGUCGUGGCGCUUACCCAAGCUCUAUUCCUGGACGCGGCCUGGCGAGAGAUGCCCCUGUCCUCCGCUCAUCCGGCUCCGCCGCCAGGGCGCCGUCCGGCCCAGAUCCCGGACCAGCCGGGAUUGGCCUGUCUGGCAGUCUUGCGCGUCCCCUGCGCAGACGCCUCCACGUCGAACAGCCUUUUGCAAGGUGACCCUGUUCAAGGACGUCGGGCGGAACGCAGCAUCGGGUCCAGUUGGAAUGAGUCGGGGAGCGUGACGCUUUGCCGUCGUCUUCCUGUGAGGAUCUGUUGAAGAUGGCAGGCGAGCAUUUUUUGACUGAUGAGAAAUGUGUUUGUCAGGUGUUCUCUAACUGUUUUUUUGUUUAUUGAACAAUGCUCAUCGUGUGUGUGUGUGUCUAUAUGCUUGUGCAUUGUCCCUUACUUGAAUGUAACACUAAAACUAGAUGCUUUCUUGAAUACACGUUGUAUUUUGCCUCUUUCUGCUCCCCCAUCAGAGAUGUGUUACCACAGUGCCAUCUGUUGGUUCUGAGGUGAAGUUCUUCCUUCGGCUCACAUUGUUUGAGCACAGAAGCUCGACAAACGCCCUCAUCUCUUUACGCUCUUCAUUUUGCCCAAUGUCCAAAUAAAGUCUUUCAGUCAUCA
This is a long non-coding RNA of Gasterosteus aculeatus aculeatus (three-spined stickleback), 1255 nucleotides long. The record is from Ensembl. NCBI's taxonomy places the organism in Eukaryota, Metazoa, Chordata, Actinopteri, Perciformes, Gasterosteidae.